AACGAACGCUGGCGGCAUGCCUAACACAUGCAAGUCGAACGAGACCUUCGGGUCUAGUGGCGCACGGGUGCGUAACGCGUGGGAAUCUGCCCUUGGGUUCGGAAUAACAGUUAGAAAUGACUGCUAAUACCGGAUAAUGUCUUCGGACCAAAGAUUUAUCGCCCAGGGAUGAGCCCGCGUAGGAUUAGCUAGUUGGUGAGGUAAAGGCUCACCAAGGCGACGAUCCUUAGCUGGUCUGAGAGGAUGAUCAGCCACACUGGGACUGAGACACGGCCCAGACUCCUACGGGAGGCAGCAGUGGGGAAUAUUGGACAAUGGGCGAAAGCCUGACCCAGCAAUGCCGCGUGAGUGAUGAAGGCCUUAGGGUUGUAAAGCUCUUUUACCCGGGAUGAUAAUGACAGUACCGGGAGAAUAAGCCCCGGCUAACUCCGUGCCAGCAGCCGCGGUAAU
RNAcentral lists this ribosomal RNA (450 nucleotides) under uncultured bacterium. RNAcentral describes it as "bacterial SSU rRNA". It matches the Rfam family "Bacterial small subunit ribosomal RNA", at positions 29 to 524 of the family's 1533-position model. The record is from RNAcentral.